GCCAGUGUAGCUCAGUGGUUGAGCAUCCACCCAUGAACCCAGAAGUCCCGGGUUCGAUUCCCGGUCAGGGCA
RNAcentral lists this transfer RNA (72 nucleotides) under Myotis davidii. It matches the Rfam family "tRNA". Rfam says of the family: Transfer RNA (tRNA) molecules are approximately 80 nucleotides in length. Lineage: Eukaryota; Metazoa; Chordata; Mammalia; Chiroptera; Vespertilionidae. The record is from Rfam by way of RNAcentral.